GACGAACGCUGGCGGCGUGCCUAAUACAUGCAAGUUGAGCGCUGAAGGUUGGUACUUGUACCAACUGGAUGAGCAGCGAACGGGUGAGUAACGCGUGGGGAAUCUGCCUUUGAGCGGGGGACAACAUUUGGAAACGAAUGCUAAUACCGCAUAAAAACUUUAAACACAAGUUUUAAGUUUGAAAGAUGCAAUUGCAUCACUCAAAGAUGAUCCCGCGUUGUAUUAGCUAGUUGGUGAGGUAAAGGCUCACCAAGGCGAUGAUACAUAGCCGACCUGAGAGGGGGACCGGCCACAUUGGUAUUGAACCCCGGCCCAAACUCCUCCGGGAGGCACCAGUAGGGAAUCUCCGGCAAUGGACGAAAGUCUGACCGGGAAACGCGGGGGGAUGGAAGAAGUUUUUCGGAUCGUAAAACUCUUUUGGUAGGGAAGAACGUUGGGGAGGGGGAAAAGCUCAUCAAGUGAGGGAAACUACCAAAAAAGGGACGGCUAACUACGU
Molecule: ribosomal RNA, 496 nt
Filed under: uncultured bacterium
Lineage: Bacteria
Description: partial 16S ribosomal RNA
Rfam family: Bacterial small subunit ribosomal RNA
Source: RNAcentral